GGGCAUGUAGCGCAGUUGGUAGCGCGCUCGCUUAGCAAACGAUUGUGUGCGAGAGGUCUCCGGUUCAAAUCCGGACUUGUCCA
Molecule: non-coding RNA, 83 nt
Organism: Ceratobasidium sp. 370
Lineage: Eukaryota; Fungi; Basidiomycota; Agaricomycetes; Cantharellales; Ceratobasidiaceae
Source: the annotation of a GenBank genome assembly